UAGGGAAUCUUCGGCAAUGGACGAAAGUCUGACCGAGCAACGCCGCGUGAGUGAAGAAGGUUUUCGGAUCGUAAAACUCUGUUGUUAGAGAAGAACAAGGACGUUAGUAACUGAACGUCCCCUGACGGUAUCUAACCAGAAAGCCACGGCUAACUACGUGCCAGCAGCCGCGGUAAUACGUAGGUGGCAAGCGUUGUCCGGCUUUAUUGGGCGUAAAGCGAGCGCAGGCGGUUUCUUAAGUCUGAUGUGAAAGCCCCCGGCUCAACCGGGGAGGGUCAUUGGAAACUGGGAGACUAGAGUGGAGAAGAGGAGAGUGGAAUUCCAUGUGUAGCGGUGAAAUGCGUAGAUAUAUGGAGGAACACCAGUGGCGAAGGCGGCUCUCUGGUCUGUAACUGACGCUGAGGCUCGAAAGCGUGGGGAGCAAACAGG
Molecule: ribosomal RNA, 429 nt
Filed under: Gemmatimonadota bacterium
Lineage: Bacteria; Pseudomonadati; Gemmatimonadota
Description: Gemmatimonadetes bacterium partial 16S ribosomal RNA
Rfam family: Bacterial small subunit ribosomal RNA
Source: RNAcentral